GAAAUGCGAUAAGUAAUGUGAAUUGCAGAAUUCAGUGAAUCAUCGAAUCUUUGAACGCACCUUGCGCUCCUUGGUAUUCCGAGGAGCAUGCCUGUUUGAGUGUCAUUAAAUUCUCAACCCCUCCAGCUUUUGCAAGCUUGGCUGGGGCUUGGAUGUUGGGGGUUUGCGGGCCUUUAUUAUCAAAGGUCAGCUCCCCUGAAAUGUAUUAGCGGAACCGUUUGCGAUCCGUCAUUGGUGUGAUAAUUAUCUACGCCAUGUGGGUUGCUCUCUGUCUGUUCAGCUGCCAAUAGUCCAUUCACGGACAAUUUUUUGAACUCUUGACCUCAAAUCAGGUAGGACUACCCGCUGAACUUAA
RNAcentral lists this unclassified non-coding RNA (355 nucleotides) under uncultured Agaricaceae. Its description in RNAcentral is "sequence contains ITS1". The stretch from base 1 to 105 matches the Rfam family "5.8S ribosomal RNA", at positions 50 to 154 of the family's 154-position model. The record is from RNAcentral. Lineage: Eukaryota; Fungi; Basidiomycota; Agaricomycetes; Agaricales; Agaricaceae.